Molecule: ribosomal RNA, 119 nt
Filed under: Pteropus alecto (black flying fox)
Lineage: Eukaryota; Metazoa; Chordata; Mammalia; Chiroptera; Pteropodidae
Source: RNAcentral
AUCUACAGCCAUACCGCCCUGAACAAGCCCAAUCUCGUCUGAUCUCGAAAGCUAAGCAGGGUUGGGCCUGGUUAGUCCUUGGAUGGGAGACCACCUAGGAAGACCGGGUGCUGUAAGCU